GGGCGAUUGGGCCCGAGUUUGAUCCUGGCUCAGAACGAACGCUGGCGGCAUGCCUAACACAUGCAAGUCGAACGCCCCGCAAGGGGAGUGGCGAACGGGUGAGUAACGCGUGGGAACCUACCCAGCAGUUGGGGAUAACCGCGGGAAACUGCGGCUAAUACCGAAUACGUCCUGAGGGAGAAAGAUUUAUCGCUGUUGGAGGGGCCCGCGUCGGAUUAGCUAGUUGGUGAGGUAAUGGCUCACCAAGGCAUCGAUCCGUAGCUGGUCUGAGAGGAUGAUCAGCCACACUGGGACUUAGACACGGCCCAGACUCCUACGGGAGGCAGCAGUGGGGAAUAUUGGACAAUGGGGGCAACCCUGAUCCAGCAAUGCCGCGUGAGUGAUGAAGGCCUUAGGGUUGUAAAGCUCUUUUACCGGGGACGAUGAUGACGGUACCCGGAGAAUAAGCCCCGGCUAACUUCGUGCCAGCAGCCGCGGUAA
This 480-nucleotide ribosomal RNA is filed under the name uncultured bacterium. RNAcentral's name for it is "bacterial SSU rRNA". It matches the Rfam family "Bacterial small subunit ribosomal RNA", at positions 1 to 523 of the family's 1533-position model. The record is from RNAcentral.